Long non-coding RNA from Aricia agestis (brown argus), 1261 nucleotides. RefSeq lists it as uncharacterized. The record is from RefSeq and is a predicted model, not a curated record. Lineage: Eukaryota; Metazoa; Arthropoda; Insecta; Lepidoptera; Lycaenidae. The transcript has 2 exons.
GUAAAAUGUAUAUAAAAAUAUCUGAGAAAGUAUUAUAGAGACGACGUACGAUAAUACAUGUAGGUACAUAGCACAGAUCUAAUAGUAGGUACAAAUAUUAAUCAAGGUAAUUUACAUACAUACUCUGUAUAUAACACAAACGUCUCUAAGCGUAAUGAUUCUAUUACACACAAUUUAUUUAAGAUAUUAUAAGCGCUUUCAUUUUUUGUCCUCAUCCGACACAUUAAUUUUAAUCUAUGCUUUUAAACAUUAUAGACCUGGCAACAUCGCGUACAUAUUUAUACUCAUCAACGGUCGCCGAAAUUUCUUAAUAUACCUACAAAAACAAUGUACAUUGGACCUUCAUUCUAUACAGAUGAACGAUGGAGCGGAUGAUUUCAAAAUAUAAUACUUUCGGUGAGGUAUUUCAACGAUGAAAAGCAAAAAAAAAAAACGACAGUUCAGCGCAAACAGAGACCAGCUCUCGAAACUAGAGUACCUAUACAAAUAUGCGUCGAACACAAAUUCAAAGGUACAGGGAGUAUACGCAGUGAAAUUAGCUGCACAAGAUAACUGCCGCGUCACAAACUACCCCGAUAUAGACAAUGUACAUAUAAACAACACCGAUCGAUGAGAGCAUCAAACGACAAAAUCUCAGGCUCGGUCUGGAGAUCAACUCAUUCUAGGCAAAGACGAGAUUUUAGCGUCCAGACUCUUGUCGCGAAGCUUUGUGAACGCGUCUUGAGUGCUCGCUUUUACGCGAGACUUCCUACCAUAGACUCACUAGUCACUUCCCCAAGACUUUGCGUCGCAAGUCUGGACGCCGUAUGAUACGUAAUAUACUACUGGGUAGUGGGUACUUUGAAAUGAGUUACAAAUAAAUGAGUGAAUGAUUAUUAUUGUGCUACGAGUUUUCAGGUAUUGCAGGCCCCGGGCUCGGACGAUUUGCAACUUAUUCGAGCGAAAUAUUGUCCGAAAAGACGAAAAUUAGUAUAAACCAUGCAUGUUAAGUCAACCGUAAUCAAGAUCUCAAGCGGUUAGUUAUCACAAAUAUCUAAAUAUAAUUAAUAUUCUCUCGAGCUUAGGAAAAAUUGUAUAAAAACAAAUUCAUAAUAUACAUUAGAUACUCUAAAGGGUGAACCGAAUCGCCAGCGAUUCGCGACGAGAUGAGGCGCUACAGCUACGAAACGAGAAGCUCUAUCCGACGGGACGGCGGCACGACGAACGAACGACGGCCGCCGUUCGGAAAGACACGACAACUCUCGAAAGGCGUUUUCAAAAA